UUACAACUUAUUUGGAACUUCUUUGUGUUAUUUUGAGUAUGUAUGUUUUUGAGUCUCUUGUAUCUCACAGUGAGUUUAUCUUUGUCAUGUUUACUAUAUAAAAAUUUUUGCUUGCUUUUUUAGUUCAACAUUACUAACUAGAUUAUGAGCUUUUACAUACCCAACAACAUCAAUAUCAUCCAAGUAAGUUUUACUCUUUUUUCCUAAGUUCAUCUCUAACUAUGAUCUACUUACUCUUAAUACUCACUUAAAAUCUCUAACUAUGGGCAGGUAACCCACAAUCAUUUAAGCACAAUUUGUUGGAACCAAGAGAACCAUACACUGCGGCCUACUUCAUCACAGACCUUUUUUUUUUACUUUCCUUUUCUCCUUACCGGUUAGAUCUCAGCCGUUCUCAUGGGAAAAUAAUGUUUAUCUUUCUUUAGUUAUAUUGAAUGGAAAAGAAUCAAAUGUUUUUUUAUGAGUCAAAAAUUGUAUUAAAAGUGAGUCUAAGGAGCACUUAACUCAAGAUCAAUUGUUUUUUUACUACACACAUCAUUACCCAUUGAUUUUGAAGGUCACUAGCUUGACUUAACUCCUAUUUUAUGCAGUUUUUUCGAGCUUAAUUUAGAGGUUGUGAAAGUAUGUAUUUUUUCUUUGUUUAACUUUUUUAUUU
Molecule: long non-coding RNA, 655 nt
Filed under: Lupinus angustifolius (narrow-leaved blue lupine)
Lineage: Eukaryota; Viridiplantae; Streptophyta; Magnoliopsida; Fabales; Fabaceae
Description: long non-coding RNA (LANG_LNC000435)
Source: RNAcentral